Molecule: long non-coding RNA, 785 nt
Filed under: Pan troglodytes (chimpanzee)
Lineage: Eukaryota; Metazoa; Chordata; Mammalia; Primates; Hominidae
Description: lncRNA (ENSPTRG00000053527.1)
Source: RNAcentral
UUACAGCUCAAUGCAACCUCCUGGCAGGCCAGCCUUAAGCCCAGCAGUCCAACCAUGCAUCUAAGCUGAGUUCUCAUCAGAGCCAACUUCAAUUAUAAACAACUGAGAUGAUGCCAGAGGCCAGAAUCCCUGAGAACCCAAUUUGCUGUCAUCACCAUGGCUGAAACAAGGUGCUUGGCAUCUAGAAAAGGUGACCUUCAUAAUGCAGGCAAUAGAGAAUUGCAAGAUUUGUCAGAGACUUCAGGUCUUUGGAAAGCUAUGCUCUUUCACAAGAACAGCCAUGGAAACAGGAAGAAAGUCAAUUCCCACUUAAGCCAUUUCUUUCAUUUGAAGUUGAAAACUGCUCAUCAAAAUCCAGUUUAAGCUGAGAAACAAAGAACUAAAUUUUGCAUGAGACAUUAUACACUGCAUAAGUAUAAAACAGGACCAGAAACAAUGGUGGAUUAGCAAUUUUUAAAAAGACAAAAGCAGGUUAUCAUUAAAUCAAUUGUUACCAACACACCAAUUCCACCUCUAGGCCAGAAAAUUAGCCACUUACCCACAGGAAAACAAUGAUUGAAGACAAAGUUCACCAGUGAAAGUUGGUUAUUUUUUUCCAUCCUUGCAUCAACUAAAAUGAUAUCUACAGUUCCUCCUAACACUUUUCUGAGUUUCAAAUAUGUGGGUAUGCUUCAUUAGCUGAGGCCAUUUUCCAUAUGUACAUCUGGCUACAAGGGAAACUGGGAAUGUGAGCCCUGAUCCUAAUGUUUGUGGAGUAUUUAGAAAUUUGAGAAUUCCCUCCAAAU